This is a long non-coding RNA of Haliotis rufescens (red abalone), 823 nucleotides long. RefSeq lists it as uncharacterized. The record is from RefSeq and is a predicted model, not a curated record. The transcript is spliced from 3 exons. NCBI's taxonomy places the organism in Eukaryota, Metazoa, Mollusca, Gastropoda, Lepetellida, Haliotidae.
UUCUAUGUUAAAUGUAAACGAUCAGUUUUUAUUAUAAAUACAAAACCACCUUUUAAGCGGUAAUACCUAUCACGCAUUAAACAACAUAUAUGAACAACCAUGUGAUUAUAAAGUCUCACGUUGGUUCCUCCGUGCAACUUCAUGCCUGACUUACAUUCAUAUUGUUCUUUCACCACACUUACGCUUCUCCAAAUUUAGAAAGAAGCUGUGUACACAGUGUUCUUGCGAGUUACAAUAACGCGUCCGGUUUGGCGGCAACUUCAAAGAGUGGACAUAUGGUUGCUCCUUCAGGUAGCUAUAAUUACCCUCUCUAUAAUGCAAUAUCGUAUUAUCCAUUUGUAAUGAAUGAUAGUAACACUAAAUCGGAUUGGAUUCAGUUAAAUCUACAUUUCUCAAGGUCUCUAACAUCGAGAUUUGAAAUAUCUUUCAUGUAAAUACCUUCUUUGUCAUGUGACUUGUAUAUAUUCAGAAUCGUACCUACGAACAAUGUAUUUGAACAAUGGCACAAGCAACGUGGUCUCUUUCUGUAAAACAUAGCACUCUUUAUUUCAGCCACAGCAAAGAUCCCGAACCACGUGCAGUCAGCAGAGUUACAGCGUCUUGUUACCGUCUUGCAGUUACGAUACAGAAUAUGUGCACAUAGCUUUCAAUGACCAGACGAAAAAAAGAAUUCAUUUCAAGUAUGUUGAGAAGAAAACGACCCAUCUCUGAAAAAAUCACCUCACCCAAGAAAAUACGACUCAUUCAUGAGAAUGAAAAGUGCAAAGUCUCCCAAGAAAUUGUCUUGUAAUAUAGCAUGUGAAUAAAUAAUUUUUUGAAAUAU